Long non-coding RNA from Triplophysa rosa, 304 nucleotides. RefSeq lists it as uncharacterized. The record is from RefSeq and is a predicted model, not a curated record. NCBI's taxonomy places the organism in Eukaryota, Metazoa, Chordata, Actinopteri, Cypriniformes, Nemacheilidae. The transcript has 3 exons.
GUUUUAGAGAGCACGUGCGUAUCAAACAGCGGGACUAACGGACGACUGGUUCAAAGCUACUGCGACUUUCAGUGGUAUUUUCACAAAACUAUAUCCCUCAUGGAGUCUGACCGGGACUGGUAUUCUCUGAAGCUUAGGUCCACUCCGAUGUCCCGGUGAUUGAAGCUGACAUGGAGUCACAGUGACAUCCUUAAAAACAGUUGUCAUGUAUAAUAUAUCUCUGUAUCUCUGAAUAUUUUUUAUUUAUUUUUUGUUUAUGUUUUAGAUUUAAGUGUUAUUGCCAUAUGUACAUUUUUCAUGAAUG